UUCUGUGGUAGUAACCUGCUUCAGCAUGCAUUGCCGUUGAAUAGUAAAUAGGUGCUAUAUACAUAUAACUCAGGCUAAUAAGUCGUGCUUCUUCCACUGUUGGCAGCAAAUAGUGAAAACCAUUUGAGGAGCAGAGCAGUGCACUGAUCGGGUUCACGUGAUGAUACCAUUGAUUAUGUUUGUGCCUGGGUGGACGUUUGAAUGGAAGAAUGUCGUUCAUGUAGAUUUGUAUUGAAUUGUUGGGGUGUUAGGGAGUGGAGUCAGUGCUUCGGGAUGAAGAUGUAUUAUCCUAAUGGAGACCACUGUAGCACUGAGAAGCAAGAUCCAAUAGGAUUCAAGCACUGCCAGUCUCAAUGCCACUUCACGUGGUGAAACGUGAAUCGGGGUCAUUGGACAAAAACAAUAUACCGCUAUAUGAAAAGAAAGAAAACAGCAACUCAUUUAAAAUAAAUAAAUACAUAAAAUACAUAUCAUGUGCUGAAUUAAAUCAACAAACAAGAAAAAGACAACAAAAGCACCUUUUGAAGUUGGUUUUAUUUCUAGAGCAAACGAGUGUAUAUUUUUAGCAAAUUCUAUCACAAGUGGAUGUUAACAAAAACCAUGUCGUUGUCUGUACAGUCUUCGCAAUACACAAAAUAAAACAAAUAAUAUAAAUACAGACAUGGAUUUUACAUGACAAAAGCAAGCGCAGUGAACACUCUGCUAGAAAUCCCAUUUCUAAUGCAUGAUGCAUCUGCAGAAUAGAGGAACAGUUAAACAUUAUGUUUAGCAGACUUGCUGAUUUCUACAAAAAAAAGUCGGACUUCUUUCCCUUGUGUAGACAUUUCAUUGAUUCUCAUCUACAAAGGGAAGCAGGUUUUUAUAUGACAAAUGCAAAUUACUUAUACAUGUUCUUAAUAAGCUGUUAGUAGUAAGCGAGUAAAAAAAAAAAAAGGUACGGCCA
Long non-coding RNA from Acipenser ruthenus (sterlet), 943 nucleotides. RefSeq lists it as uncharacterized. The record is from RefSeq and is a predicted model, not a curated record. The transcript is spliced from 2 exons. NCBI's taxonomy places the organism in Eukaryota, Metazoa, Chordata, Actinopteri, Acipenseriformes, Acipenseridae.